GAGGAAUUUUCCGCAAUGGACGAAAGUCUGACGGAGCAACGCCGCGUGCAGGAUGAAGGUCUUCGGAUCGUAAACUGCUUUUACCGGGGAAGAGAAUGGACGGUACCUGGUGACUAAGUCCCGGCUAACUACCUGCCAGCAGCCGCGGUAAUACGUAGGGGGCGAGCGUUGUCCGGAUUUAUUGGGCGUAAAGGGCCCGCAGGCGGUUCGCCAAGUUUGGGGUGACAGCUCCUGGCUUAACCAGGAGAGUGCUGCAAAAACUGGUGGACUUGAGAGCGAGAGAGGGACAUGGAACUCCGGGUGGAGCAGUGAAAUGCGUAGAGAUCCGGAAGAACACCAAAGGCGAAGGCAGUGUCCUGGCUCGUUUCUGACGCUCAGGGGCGAAAGCUAGGGGAGCGAA
This 400-nucleotide ribosomal RNA is filed under the name uncultured bacterium. RNAcentral's name for it is "bacterial SSU rRNA". It matches the Rfam family "Bacterial small subunit ribosomal RNA", at positions 356 to 772 of the family's 1533-position model. The record is from RNAcentral.